RNAcentral lists this ribosomal RNA (469 nucleotides) under uncultured bacterium. Its description in RNAcentral is "bacterial SSU rRNA". It matches the Rfam family "Bacterial small subunit ribosomal RNA", at positions 1 to 524 of the family's 1533-position model. The record is from RNAcentral.
UAGAGUUUGAUCCUGGCUCAGAACGAACGCUGGCGGCAGGCCUAACACAUGCAAGUCGAACGCCCCGCAAGGGGAGUGGCAGACGGGUGAGUAACGCGUGGGAAUAUCCCCCUUGGUACGGAAUAACUCGGGGAAACUCGAGCUAAUACCGUAUGAUCCGGUAACGGCAAAGAUUUAUCGCCGAGGGAAUAGCCCGCGUUGGAUUAGCUAGUUGGUGAGGUAACGGCUCACCAAGGCUACGAUCCAUAGCUGGUCUGAGAGGAUGAUCAGCCACACUGGGACUGAGACACGGCCCAGACUCCUACGGGAGGCAGCAGUGGGGAAUCUUGGACAAUGGGCGCAAGCCUGAUCCAGCCAUGCCGCGUGAGUGAUGAAGGCCUUAGGGUUGUAAAGCUCUUUCGCUCGUGACGAUGAUGACGGUAACGAGAGAAGAAGCCCCGGCUAACUUCGUGCCAGCAGCCCCGGUCAA